GUCACUGUGGCACAAUUGGUUAGCGCGCGUUCGGCUGUUUACCGAAAGGAUGGUGGUUCAAGCCCACCCAGGGACG
Molecule: transfer RNA, 76 nt
Filed under: Hippoglossus stenolepis (Pacific halibut)
Lineage: Eukaryota; Metazoa; Chordata; Actinopteri; Pleuronectiformes; Pleuronectidae
Description: tRNA-Asn
Rfam family: tRNA
About the family: Transfer RNA (tRNA) molecules are approximately 80 nucleotides in length.
Source: RNAcentral